CCUACGGGGGGCAGCAGUGGGGAAUAUUGGACAAUGGGGGCAACCCUGAUCCAGCCAUGCCGCGUGUGUGAAGAAGGCCCUCGGGUUGUAAAGCACUUUCAGUGAGGAAGAACGCCUGGUGGUUAAUACCCAUCAGGAAAGACAUCACUCACAGAAGAAGCACCGGCUAACUCCGUGCCAGCAGCCGCGGUAAUACGGAGGGUGCGAGCGUUAAUCGGAAUUACUGGGCGUAAAGCGCGCGUAGGUGGCUUGAUAAGCCGGUUGUGAAAGCCCCGGGCUCAACCUGGGAACGGCAUCCGGAACUGUCAAGCUAGAGUGCAGGAGAGGAAGGUAGAAUUCCCGGUGUAGCGGUGAAAUGCGUAGAGAUCGGGAGGAAUACCAGUGGCGAAGGCGGCCCUCUGGACUGACACUGACACUGAGGUGCGAAAGCGUGGGUAGCAAACAGGAUUAGAUACCCUUGUAGUC
This 465-nucleotide ribosomal RNA is filed under the name Vreelandella stevensii. Its description in RNAcentral is "partial 16S ribosomal RNA". It matches the Rfam family "Bacterial small subunit ribosomal RNA", at positions 338 to 795 of the family's 1533-position model. Lineage: Bacteria; Pseudomonadati; Pseudomonadota; Gammaproteobacteria; Oceanospirillales; Halomonadaceae. The record is from RNAcentral.